UGGGGAAUAUUGGACAAUGGACCAAGAGUCUGAUCCAGCAAUUCUGUGUGCACGAUGAAGUUUUUCGGAAUGUAAAGUGCUUUCAGUUGGGAAGAAAGAAAUGACGGUACCAACAGAAGAAGUGACGGCUAAAUACGUGCCAGCAGCCGCGGUAAUACGUAUGUCACGAGCGUUAUCCGGAUUUAUUGGGCGUAAAGUGCGUCUAGGUGGUUAUGUAAGUCUGAUGUGAAAAUGCAGGGCUCAACUCUGUAUUGCGUUGGAAACUGUAUAACUAGAGUACUGGAGAGGUAAGCGGAACUACAAGUGUAGAGGUGAAAUUCGUAGAUAUUUGUAGGAAUGCCGAUGGGGAAGCCAGCUUACUGGACAGAUACUGACGCUGAAGCGCGAAAGCGUGGGUAGCAAACAGGAUUAGAUACCCUGGUAGUCCAUGCCGUAAACGAUGAUUACUAGGUGUUGGGGGUCGAACCUCAGCGCCCAAGCAAACGCGAUAAGUAAUCCGCCUGGGGAGUACGUACGCAAGUAUG
This 524-nucleotide ribosomal RNA is filed under the name uncultured bacterium. RNAcentral's name for it is "bacterial SSU rRNA". It matches the Rfam family "Bacterial small subunit ribosomal RNA", at positions 355 to 896 of the family's 1533-position model. The record is from RNAcentral.